RNAcentral lists this ribosomal RNA (119 nucleotides) under Brassica oleracea var. oleracea. The record is from RNAcentral. Lineage: Eukaryota; Viridiplantae; Streptophyta; Magnoliopsida; Brassicales; Brassicaceae.
GGGUGCGAUCAUACCACCACUAAUGCACCGAAUCCCAUCAGAACUCCGCUGUUAAGCAUGCUUGGGCGAGAGUAGUACUAGGAUGGGUUACCUCCCGGGAAGUUGUCGUGUUGCACCCC